RNAcentral lists this ribosomal RNA (448 nucleotides) under uncultured bacterium. RNAcentral describes it as "bacterial SSU rRNA". It matches the Rfam family "Bacterial small subunit ribosomal RNA", at positions 958 to 1398 of the family's 1533-position model. The record is from RNAcentral.
AACGCGAAGAACCUUACCUGGCCUUGACAUGCAUCUCUAAACCGGUGAAAGCCGGCGAGUCUCGAAAGAGACAAUUUGCACAGGUGCUGCAUGGCUGUCGUCAGCUCGUGUCGUGAGAUGUUGGGUUAAGUCCCGCAACGAGCGCAACCCUUGUGAACUGUUGCCACUCCCUUUGUUGGGAAGCACUCUGUUCAGACUGCCCUGUGAAACGGGGAGGAAGGUGAGGAUGACGUCAAGUCAGUAUGGCCCUUACGGCCAGGGCUGCACACGUACUACAAUGCCCAGUACAGAACGAUCCGAGACCGCGAGGUGGAGGAAAUCUAUCAAAACUGGGCCCAGUUCGGAUUGGAGUCUGCAACUCGACUCCAUGAAGCCGGAAUCGCUAGUAAUGGCGUAUCAGCUACGACGCCGUGAAUACGUUCCCGGGCCUUGUACACACCGAGACGUA